RNAcentral lists this small RNA (138 nucleotides) under Proteus vulgaris. The record is from RNAcentral. Lineage: Bacteria; Pseudomonadati; Pseudomonadota; Gammaproteobacteria; Enterobacterales; Morganellaceae.
ACAUAAAAAAAGCCAGAUAAAUCAUUUAUCUGGCUUAGGGAAAAGGCUCAUUGCGAGCCGUGCGCUAAAAAGUAAUUACUGAUUACUGCAUAAACAAAAAAAUCUAGGACUAACUCAGACCUUUCUAUUUCACAACCU